Molecule: long non-coding RNA, 470 nt
Filed under: Oryctolagus cuniculus (rabbit)
Lineage: Eukaryota; Metazoa; Chordata; Mammalia; Lagomorpha; Leporidae
Description: lncRNA (ENSOCUG00000031961.1)
Source: RNAcentral
CUCUUUUGCUUAUUUAUGAUAGAUUUUACAGUGUUUUUGAUGCAAAAUUGUCUUACAGGAUGCAUGGGUUAAUAAUCAUUUUGAAUCAUUUACUACUCUAUAACCAGCCUUGUAGUAUGGUAGUGUAUUCUGAUAGUACCUUGGUUUAAUAAUGAAUGAACUUUGUUAAUCUAAUCCUGGGUAAUUCAGGAAACAGAAUGUCUUCCUCUUAAUGUCUUUUUCUGAUAAUGAUGGAGAUUUAUACUGAUGAAAUUGCUUCCAUGGAAGAUGAAGUACUUCUGAUGGCUGCUUUCAAUCAUUGGAGAGACUACAGAAGCACAAGGCUCCUCCUGGAGAAUGAAGCAGGCAUACUGCUGUCAAGGGCAAAGGAUCAGGCUGUGUUCACACGGCAGCUUCUCAUGGGGAGAACCCAAGGUUUAAAGAAGAGGAACUUUUUUCUCCUCCUGUGUCUUUCUGCAACAAAUAUGUAG